AUUUCCCACUUAUUUUCAACUUUUACUUAUGAAAAAAUUGUUUACGUUAAAGCCUGCUUUGUUUACUAAUAUGUAAACUUUAAGCUAAGCCAAACGCGUUUUAAUAAAUAAUAAUAUACAUAGAUUUUAAACAAACAGCGCUACCGUAAUACUACUAUUCACUCGCGUAGAAGCCUCUCAUUCCGCCGCCCGAUUUUGUGUUUACUUCGAAAUUCCCUCAGAUCUGUGUUUUUCCUUUUACAUUCAUCAACUGUGCCCCGCGGUUAUCCACAAAUAUAAUCAUCAAAUGCUUGUUUUUUCAUUGUGAAUUUUUCGACAGUUGAUAAUCAGUCGGAAUGGUGAUUUAUGGACCAUUAAUACUUGGUCAGGUGACUCAGGUCAGUGAAUAUUUCUUAACUAUAGCUAUUUCGAGCUUAUUGUAUUGUACCAUUAGAUCCUAAUUGUUUUAGGUGGAUUUUGUAGAAUUUGCCUGUUCUUAUUGCUAUAGUAAAGAACUGUGUAGGAGAGUGUAUUAUGUGCUUAAAUUGCGAGUUCCUUUUAAAGUUCCGUACUUAAAUAAUUUGAUGAGUUAAUUUUCUUUAUUUUAUGAAAGCAUAGCUUGAUGAAUUAAUUGUUUUUCCUUUUCCUUUGUGUGAAUUGCAGGUGUCAUUUUUCUUGGGAUAGUACCAAUAUGCAUUGACUGGAUAUGCUCAGAGUAUCUGGAGCAUAGGAAAAAUCCCUCAUGGAAACUGUGUCGAUCUUUGAUCAAAUUUGAACGUAAAACGUUGAAGUAAUUUAGACAAUGUGUGGAACAUUAUGUGUGAAGAUGUUUGAAGUGAUUUAUUAUGGUUUCUUAUAGAUACAUUUGCUGAAUGGUAUGAAUAUUUGGUACCACAGCUGCUCGAAUGGCUUAUCAAAUUAUUCACUGAUUUAUUAUUAUUAUUAAUAUUUUUGAGUUUAUGAGACAUAUAGUAGAUUUUGUUGAAUUAAUGAGUGUGUUCUCUGGUGUGAGUUCUGACUGAAGCCAAAAGGCUCAGAAAAAUGGUGAGGAACAUAAUGUUAAUGUAUAGUUCUAUGUGUUUUCAUCCGAUCCUUUGGAAUUUUGUUACAUCAGUAAUGUACUUCAAAUUCAGGAUUCCUUUUGUGUGUGUGUGUUAUUUAGGUACAUAAAGUAUGAUAUAUAUUGUGUUAUAAUGAUAAUAGUUUUCUGAAGGAUUGUAAAAUUCCCUGUCCAAAUCUUGUACAUUUCAGUGGCAGGAAUUCUGAUAUAAAUUUGGUCGAGUUGGGAAAGGAAACACUCAAAGAAGAUAACAGAGCUGUUCUAUCGGAAGGAGGUGCUCUCUAGUCUUCAUCUCCUAAAGUUAGGAAUUCAUCUGUAACAUCUCGCAUUAUCAGGUAAGUAACAAACAAGGUUAAAAUAAGUUGGAGUUGUACCUUACUUUUACGUUCUUGUAUAUGCUUAUCUUCUCUGGUUCCUUAAAUUGGACGAGUCUUUCCUACUUGAGAUAUUUGGCAUUAUAUUUGACAAACUGAUGCCUUCAAAUGUAAAACUGUAAAAGAUGCAGUUGUUUUUAUAAAAAUAUUAAUAGGAAGUUGUGAUAUGUAAAACUUGUGAGAUCAACACUUAAACAGGUGUGAUAUAUGAACGUUAUUAUAUUUUUGUUGUUAGACAACAAGGACAAUGUGAAAAAAAAAAAAAAAAAAAAAAAAUUCUUUGGGUAGUGCACAUUGGUAUGAUAUUUUAUCAAUUACGCUUGUUAGGUUUGAUUAAUAAAGUAGGACUAAUCAUUUAGCUGUCAUGUGAAACAGAAAGAAGCAAUAUUUAAUGUAACAACUGUAGCUUUGUUUCUAUUCCUUUCUUUUUGGUUUGCAUUAACCCUGUCUUUGAUAAUUAGAUAUUUACCCCCUUGAAUAUAACGAACUGGGUCUUAAUAUUGGUUCAUGUAGAGAAACGGAAAACUUGAGCUGUAAUUUUAGGUGCUUAACUGAAAUUCAUCAAAUCAAUAAUAAGACCACAUAUUGUGCAUGGUGUUUAAACAUGUGUUGCUGCUGUUUCUAAUUUAUGAAGUGCUACCCAUGUGAAUGUGAUGAUUGAUGUGGUCCUUGUUUCUGUACUUCCUUCUUAUCAUAGGCCCUGUUUGGGCCCGAUUUUUUCCUCCAAAAAAUUGAUUUUUUGACCGUUAUUUCACUAUUCCAGCCGUCAUAUUUGACUUCUUCUCUCACGGGUGGACCCCACUUUUCUUCUAACGGUCAAAAAAUCAAUUCUCAAAAUCACUCCCAAACAACCUCUAGAGUUUUGGCAAUUACUUCUUUCAAGAUACAUAAUGACAAGUCGCCAUUCUUUGGGAAGACGAUCAUGUAUUUAAAUAGGCAUUAAACUGAGGAGUGGAAAGAAUGGAUGCAGGCAAUUAAGUUUCCUAAAGGAUUCAUUUACCUUUUGAUUUAUGAUGGCUACUUCUCACUUUCUGCAUGUGGAGUUUUGUAUUAGUUUUUUGUGAUUAUUGUUGAAAAUUAGUUUCUUUUUCGCCUUUUUUCCUUUGCAGUCAGGGUGUCUGUGCAUGUUAAUGUUUUAGAUUUCUGAAGGCAUAUCAACUAUCAUACUUAUGUGAUGGAAGAAGACUUUGAGGGAUCCAGUAGACUUGUCAUGUAAUCUAAGUGUAAGAUGAGCACUGACAGCCUUAUACCUUUCUCUCUACUCAGUCCUUAUACUCAAUCCUUAGUCUUUUUUCAGUUUUCAGAUGUUAAUUUUAGAAACUAGGUAUUAUCGGCUACAAUGCAGUAAAUCUGGUUGCUUAUCUUGUGCCAUUGUAUCCGUUCUAACGUUCCAUUUUGAUUGACCUCAAAAAUAAUAUCGAUGACUUUGCUUCUCUUAUACAAACUUUUUCAUUCUUUCCUAGAACUUAUAUCACUGACUAUUUGGCGCCUAAAGAGACACUGAAACUAGAGCCGCUCAUAAAAAAAUUUGAAGGAAUAAGUUGCAAAACUAAUCCAGAUUAUCCAAACCUUGAAAUGAAAAGGAAAGGGCCCUUCAUUUAUACUUAAGAAGGGUCCAUAAGCUUGUGGAACAUUGUAUCUAAGGCACUUUCAGUUUGAGUAAAUUGUCUACUGAAAUGAGUUAUGACUCAGUUUUAAGAAAGCAGUUUUACAUUGACAUUUGAAGUGUGCUGUAAAAAUAUCCUUUAAUGAUUAAGUACAUUGAUAUCUUGAUUGGUCUGCAGUGGAUAUUAUUCAUCUUGUCUAUAUAAUAAAUGGUUUUAUGCAAUCUUCUUCCCUACCUGCGGGUCUUAUUUCUUAUAUAUCAUUACUUUGCUGCAACCAAAAUCUAUAAUGCCAUUUGAGUUUUUAUUGUUUCAUGUGUGGCUGAUUGGCUUUGGAAACUUCAUCCGCAAGGAUUUCAGCGUUUGCUAGGUUUAUUUAGGUACUAUUUCUGCAUGAGUUCUAAGAUAGAAUCCUGAUUCGUCAAAUGAACCUUGCUCCCGACAGAUUUACAUUUGAAUGGACAAAUGAUUUGGAGGCUCAAUUUCUUGUUUUUUUUUUUUCUUUUUUUUUUGCUUGCUGCGUUGUGCUUAAUAACAGUUACAUGUUAUACUACAAAUGCCCCAUGCGCACACUUUUCACUCUCAUGGGUUAUGGGGCCCUUGGCAAUUUUAACAAAUACAACGAGCAGGGGAUUGUCAUAGCUGGCAAAAUCAUAGGCUAUUUCUUGGUAGUCAUUCUCAUUUGGGAAGUGCCUGGGUGUUUGAACUGUUUAGGAUUCGCUCCACUUUCUUGAGUUAUUAUCAUCGCGUGUUUGUAGAUUUGAUCUACAUCAGAUUUCGUUCAUAUUUGUGUUGUUACCUGUCGUAGUUAAUACACACAUUAGUUUGGAUGCGUACUUCAAAUACAUUGUGGUAGUUGUUGUUUCUUCUCACACUUUUAGUAUCCCUUGUCAAUUUCACACCUCCUGAGGCUAUUCAAAUUUGUUUACUAGGUAGAGAGAUGGAUGGAGAAACUAGAGGAAGCUGAACCAAAACGUAGGAUAUCAAUCAAAAAUGAUUGUUGUGAUAAUUUCAUUGAUGGUAUCACAUCGAUCUUUUAGAACAAUCUUUUAUAUCUCAAUUCUGCAUCAAAUACCAGUGAUUUCAUGAUUUCAGAUUGAAUAUCUGGGGAUGGAGUAUAAAUACAAGCUUCCAAAAUUUACUUACAAUAAAUAUCAUCCUUAUACAUCGUGGAUUCCCAUCACGUGCGCACAUCCUCUAGUUGCUUUGUUA
Molecule: long non-coding RNA, 4229 nt
Filed under: Olea europaea subsp. europaea
Lineage: Eukaryota; Viridiplantae; Streptophyta; Magnoliopsida; Lamiales; Oleaceae
Source: RNAcentral